GGGGGGGGGGGGGGGGGGGGGUGGGGGGUGGGAGGGGGGGGGAGGGGCGCGGGGGGGGGGGGGUGCUCGGUUGGGGAAAUGGGGAGUGGCAGGUGCGUGAGCUGUCUGUGGCUUUGGGAUGACUUCAGGCACAUGGGGAUGAUGACGCGUAGGCCAGCCGGCGUCCCGGUGGGGAUUGUAUGGUUUCUUCGGUUGGGGAUCGACUCGCGUCUUAUCGGCGUGUUGUUGGGGCAGUGGCUGACCAAGGCUUUGGCGGGUAGCAGGCCUGAGAGGGUGCCCGGCCAUAUUGGGCCUGAGAUACGGCCCAGACUCCUACGGGAGGCAGCAGUGGGGAAUAUUGCACAAUGGGCGGAAGCCUGAUGCAGCAACGCCGCGUGCGGGAUGACGGCCUUCGGGUUGUAAACCGCUUUCGCCUGUGACGAAGCGUGAGUGACGGUAAUGGGUAAAGAAGCACCGGCUAACUACGUG
This 468-nucleotide ribosomal RNA is filed under the name uncultured bacterium. RNAcentral's name for it is "partial 16S ribosomal RNA". The stretch from base 58 to 468 matches the Rfam family "Bacterial small subunit ribosomal RNA", at positions 39 to 507 of the family's 1533-position model. The record is from RNAcentral.